This is a non-coding RNA of Pelobates cultripes (western spadefoot toad), 2023 nucleotides long. The record is from the annotation of a GenBank genome assembly. NCBI's taxonomy places the organism in Eukaryota, Metazoa, Chordata, Amphibia, Anura, Pelobatidae.
CUAAAAAAUACAUUUUCCUUUUGCACAAUACAUUUAAUAUACAUACACUAACAACUAUUUAUACAUUAAACACAGCAAGUUUAACAAGCUGCCCUAGCUUGACAUCAUUUGUAAUUAUUUGUUUGCAAAGAAACGAUAAUUACUUAAGAAUCACAUAUUUACUAAACCAUUAUAUAUAUAUUUCAUGAGAACAUUUAUAUAAGUAAGUAUAAACCUUUAUGAGUGAUUGUUUUGAUUUAAUGUAGGAAUUGUGUUAUCUGUGUCUGUAGACCUUCGUAUGAACAUAGUUAUGUGAGGUGCAUUACAUUAAAGAAAAUACCCAUCUAAACUUUUCCUAAAAUACUAACGUAAAACAAUGAAGAUAUACAUUUUUUUGCUUUCUAAUAGCCAAGUAGAAGAGAAGAGGAGCACAAAGCGUAACACCUACCAUGCAUAAAGACGGCGGUGAAGGAACGAAGGAAAAGCAAAUCUAUUUUACAUUGAAUACACCAUGUAUCUUUUCAAAAACAGAAUAUUCAAGAAUAUCAUUUUUCAAUGUGGGGUAAUAGCUGCUUGAUCCAAGGAUAAAUCUGACUGCCAUUCUGGGGUCAAGAAGGAAUUUUUUUCUCCUAAAUUGUUGCAAAAUUGGAAGUGCUUCAAACUGUUUUUUUUUUUUUUACCUUCUUUUGGAUCAACAGCAAAAAACAAAUGUGAGGAAGGCUGAACUUGAUGGACGCAAGUCUCUUCAGCUAUUUAACUAUGAUAUAUGGUGCAUUCAAUAUAUAUAUAUUUAAGCAAUUUAAGGUGAUUUAAUGCAUCAUAACAGGUUCACCUUAAAUAUUUGGGUACCUGCAUUCACCUGUCAAUCAAACGGAUUGAGGUAAAAGGACGAGCAGUAAAACACUUGUAAAUGCUUUUUUUCUGCUCACCAUUACGGUGCUCUCUUUUCAAAACUUCCCUGAGGAAUAUAGGAAUGGAGUAACACAUUUCACUCUGAUCCAAUAACAAUGCGCAGGCACUGUAGCCAUCAUGCUAGUGUCAUGGAAGAGGAAUAUCUUGCUUGAAGAUGUGUGUUACAUUACUGUAACCCCUAUGAAUCUGCAGUGAUGGUGGCACUGUAUAUAGCAUAUAUUUAUGGCUCUAGGAGCAGUUAUAGAAUCAGGUUAACCUGUUUUUACAGACUCACUAUAAUGAGAUCACCAUUAACACAUAUGCACUACCAACUCUUUUAUUGCUAGAAUACCUAUUUUUUUUAAAUAUUAAUUUUGUUUAUUAAAAGGCAAAAGAGACACAUUUAUUUUGUGCACACAUAAUUGGCUAUAUAUGUCUUGAUAAUGUAAGAGACAAUAUAUUUAACUUCUUUAUCGUAGAAUAUAGGGCUGUUAAGGUACUUUAUCAAAUUCCAUGCAAAGUAGGAUAAUGCACAAAUGAUUAGCAAUGGAAGCUGUUUGUUUAUUUUUGUUUUUUUUUAAUUUACCAGCUUAUAUUACCAGUUUAAAAUAAUAUUUAAAAAAUUACUAAUAAUAAAACUACUAAAAUUCGAGAAAAAGAAACUCAAACCAUUCACAUUAAUAAACUGAAGAUGAACAAUAUAAAUUCAACAUUUAAUUUUUUUCACAGCACAUACCUCUGGGUUAGAAGUCUUUUUAAAUAUUGAAUAAACAUAUAUCUGAUUUACUUUACUGUUAUAGCCUAUAGCUCUCAACUGUAUACAUUCACCAUGGUCCAUAAUAUAGUUUAUUAACUUUGCUUCACCUGUAAUAAAAUGUGAGAUAUUACUUUGGAAAACAUUUUUUCUGUUUUGUUCCAAUUCCGAAUCCUCAAAUUGCUCCUAGGAAUCACUAAAUCUUAAAGCUUAAAGGGACACUAGAGUCACCAAAACAACUUCAGUUUUAUGAAAGUUUUGGUGUAUAACUCAUGCCUCUGAGGUUUCACUGCUCAGUUCAAUGCCAUUUAAGAGGUAAAUCACUUUUAAAGGACCACUAUAGUGCCAGGAAAACAUACUCAUUUUCCUGGCACUAUAGUGCCCUGAGGGUGCCCCCAC